GAUGAACGCUGGCGGCGUGCCUAAUACAUGCAAGUCGAACGAUGAAGCGAGGAGCUUGCUCUUCUUAGGUGAGUUGCGGACGGGUGAGUAACGCGUAGGUAACCUGCCUUGUAGCGUGGGAUAACUAUUGGAAACGGUAGCUAAUACCGCAUAACAUUGGAUACCACAUGUCUCUUUUUUGAAAGGGGCAAUUGCUCUACUACAUGAUUGACUUGCGUCGGAUUUGGUAGUAGGGUAGGUUAUGGCUCUCCCAAGCGAAGGUACCUAGCCGAACCGGGAGGGGUGACGGGCAACCUGGGAAUGAAGCAAGGCCCAGACUCCUACGGGGGGCAGCCGGAGGGGAUCUUCGGCAAUUGGGGCAACGCUGACCGGGCAACGGCGCGGGAGGGAAGAAGGGUCUCGGAUCGGAAAGCUUUGGUGUAAGGGAAGAACGGGUGGGAUAGUGGAAAGUUCACACUGUGACGGUAGCUUACCAGAAAGGGACGGCUAACUACGUG
Molecule: ribosomal RNA, 497 nt
Filed under: uncultured bacterium
Lineage: Bacteria
Description: partial 16S ribosomal RNA
Rfam family: Bacterial small subunit ribosomal RNA
Source: RNAcentral